UGCGCCUUGCCAGCCCGCUCAGAAACUCAAAGGAAUUGACGGGGGCCCGCACAAGCAGCGGAGCGUGUGGUUUAAUUCGAUGAUACGCGAGGAACCUCACCCAGGUUUGACAUGCAUGUGGUACCAAGGUGAAAGCUGAGGGACCCUUCGGGGAGCAUGCACAGGUGUUGCACGGCCGUCGUCAGCUCGUGCCGUGAGGUGUUGGGUUAAGUCCCGCAACGAGCGCAACCCCUGUCGCCAGUUGUAUUUUUCUGGCGAGACUGCCGAGAAAACCUCGGAGGAAGGAGGGGACGAUGUCAGGUCAGCGUGGCCCUUACGCCUGGGGCUACACACACGCUACAAUGGGCAGUACAACGGGUCGCGAAGCCGCGAGGUGGAGCUAAUCCCAUCAAAGCUGUCCUCAGUUCGGAUUGCAGGCUGAAACCCGCCUGCAUGAAGCCGGAGUUGCUAGCAACCGCAGGUCAGCAUUACUGCGGUGAAUACGUUCCCGGGCCUU
RNAcentral lists this ribosomal RNA (496 nucleotides) under uncultured Chloroflexota bacterium. RNAcentral describes it as "bacterial SSU rRNA". It matches the Rfam family "Bacterial small subunit ribosomal RNA", at positions 903 to 1382 of the family's 1533-position model. The record is from RNAcentral. Lineage: Bacteria; Bacillati; Chloroflexota.